GACGAACCAUGCGAACGUUGUUCGGAAUCACUGGGCUUAAAGGGCGCGUAGGCGGGUGUGCAAGUCUGCGGUGAAAGCCUCCAGCUUAACUGGAGAAGUGCCGUGGAUACUGCUCAUCUCGAGGAGGGUAGGGGCAUCUGGAACGUUGGGUGGAGCGGUGAAAUGCGUUGAUAUCCAACGGAACUCCGGUGGCGAAGGCGAGGUGCUGGACCCUUUCUGACGCUGAGGCGCGAAAGCCAGGGGAGCGAACGGG
Molecule: ribosomal RNA, 253 nt
Filed under: uncultured bacterium
Lineage: Bacteria
Description: partial 16S ribosomal RNA
Rfam family: Bacterial small subunit ribosomal RNA
Source: RNAcentral